Long non-coding RNA from Hippopotamus amphibius kiboko, 389 nucleotides. RefSeq lists it as uncharacterized. The transcript has 3 exons. NCBI's taxonomy places the organism in Eukaryota, Metazoa, Chordata, Mammalia, Artiodactyla, Hippopotamidae. The record is from RefSeq and is a predicted model, not a curated record.
CGCCCUCCCUCGCUCGGCGAGGGAAGAGCGGGGCGGCGCCCGCGCGUUACGUGGUGGAACCCGCCCGGCGGGCGCAACAGGAGGCCCGCCCGAGGGGCAGUGCGCGGCCCGCCGUGUCACGUGAUGCUCCCUGGCAACAGCUCAGCUGACAUGAACACCUUGGCAACCUCUUCAUCCCUCACCUUUCUAUGUUUAUGCUUCCUGAUGCUGCCAGAUCAGUUAAAAGAUCAUAAUCUUAUGUAACCUUACACAAAGCUGAAUGACAAUUGCAAAGAAUCUAGAGGAAGUCAAAACUGCAAAAUAGAAGAAGCCUGGGGCCUCAGAUUAAUCCUUGGAGGAAUCCUGCCCCAGAGAACUGCAUAACCAGAAACACCUGUGUUGGAUUUUAC